Long non-coding RNA from Heterocephalus glaber (naked mole-rat), 321 nucleotides. The record is from Ensembl. NCBI's taxonomy places the organism in Eukaryota, Metazoa, Chordata, Mammalia, Rodentia, Bathyergidae.
GUGACUUUCUGCCAGCACCAGCCUUACUUCACGCCAUGUGAUCUUCCCUUUCUCUUUCAGUGCGAAGGUGCCGUGGGAACACACACAGAAUGUCACAAUGCAAAAGGGGCCCCUUGAACCAGACCUGAGGUUCAUGGAAGGCUUGGCUUCCUGAAGGAGUGACUGAAGCAGAAGAUGGAAAAGAGUUGGGCAGAUAAAAAGGAUUUCAAAAUAGGAAGACCUCUGUUGGACCCUGUACCUCAAUAAAGGAAGCUCCACCACCACCAAGCCACUAUGGCUGGGUGGACAAGAAAGAGCAGAAGGAAAAGAAUCAAGAUUUGG